Molecule: ribosomal RNA, 1217 nt
Filed under: Fusarium oxysporum f. sp. lycopersici 4287
Lineage: Eukaryota; Fungi; Ascomycota; Sordariomycetes; Hypocreales; Nectriaceae
Description: Fusarium oxysporum f. sp. lycopersici eukaryotic large subunit ribosomal RNA
Rfam family: Eukaryotic large subunit ribosomal RNA
Source: RNAcentral
CCCAAGGAGUCGUCUUCGUAUGCGAGUGUUCGGGUGUCAAACCCCUACGCGUAAUGAAAGUGAACGCAGGUGAGAGCUUCGGCGCAUCAUCGACCGAUCCUGAUGUUCUCGGAUGGAUUUGAGUAAGAGCAUACGGGGCCGGACCCGAAAGAAGGUGAACUAUGCCUGUAUAGGGUGAAGCCAGAGGAAACUCUGGUGGAGGCUCGCAGCGGUUCUGACGUGCAAAUCGAUCGUCAAAUAUGGGCAUGGGGGCGAAAGACUAAUCGAACCUUCUAGUAGCUGGUUUCCGCCGAAGUUUCCCUCAGGAUAGCAGUGUUGAACUCAGUUUUAUGAGGUAAAGCGAAUGAUUAGGGACUCGGGGGCGCUAUUUAGCCUUCAUCCAUUCUCAAACUUUAAAUAUGUAAGAAGCUCUUGUUGCUUAAUUGAACGUGAGCAUUCGAAUGUAUCAACACUAGUGGGCCAUUUUUGGUAAGCAGAACUGGCGAUGCGGGAUGAACCGAACGCGAGGUUAAGGUGCCAGAGUAGACGCUCAUCAGACACCACAAAAGGUGUUAGUACAUCUUGACAGCAGGACGGUGGCCAUGGAAGUCGGAAUCCGCUAAGGACUGUGUAACAACUCACCUGCCGAAUGUACUAGCCCUGAAAAUGGAUGGCGCUCAAGCGUCUCACCCAUACCUCGCCCUCAGGGUAGAAACGAUGCCCUGAGGAGUAGGCGGACGUGGAGGUCAGUGACGAAGCCUAGGGCGUGAGCCCGGGUUGAACGGCCUCUAGUGCAGAUCUUGGUGGUAGUAGCAAAUACUUCAAUGAGAACUUGAAUCGGACCGAAGUGGGGAAAGGUUCCAUGUGAACAGCGGUUGGACAUGGGUUAGUCGAUCCUAAGCCAUAGGGAAGUUCCGUUUCAAAGGUGCACUUUGCACCGUCUGGCGAAAGGGAAGCCGGUCAAUAUUCCGGCACCUGGAUGUGGGUUUUGCGCGGCAACGCAACUGAACGUGGAGACGACGGCGGGGGCCCCGGGCAGAGUUCUCUUUUCUUCUUAACAGUCUCUCACCCUGAAAUCGGUUUGUCCGGAGCUAGGGUUUAAUGGCUGGAAGAGCCCAGCACCUCUGCUGGGUCCGGUGCGCUCUCGACGUCCCUUGAAAAUCCACGGGAGGAAAUAAUUCUCACGCCAGGUCGUACUCAUAACCGCAGCAGGUCUCCAAGGUGAACAGCCUCUGGUU